RNAcentral lists this ribosomal RNA (491 nucleotides) under uncultured bacterium. RNAcentral describes it as "partial 16S ribosomal RNA". It matches the Rfam family "Bacterial small subunit ribosomal RNA", at positions 29 to 506 of the family's 1533-position model. The record is from RNAcentral.
AGUGAACGCUGGCGGUAGGCCUAACACAUGCAAGUCGAACGGCAGCACAGUAAGAGCUUGCUCUUACGGGUGGCGAGUGGCGGACGGGUGAGGAAUACAUCGGAAUCUACUUUUUCGUGGGGGCUGACGUAGGGAAACUUACGCUAAUACCGCAUACGACCUACGGGUGAAAGCAGGGGAUCUUCGGACCUUGCGCGAUUGAAUGAGCCGAUGUCGGAUUAGCUAGUUGGCGGGGUAAAGGCCCACCAAGGCGACGAUCCGUAGCUGGUCUGAGAGGAUGAUCAGCCACACUGGAACUGAGACACGGUCCAGACUCCUACGGGAGGCAGCAGUGGGGAAUAUUGGACAAUGGGCGCAAGCCUGAUCCAGCCAUACCGCGUGGGUGAAGAAGGCCUUCGGGUUGUAAAGCCCUUUUGUUGGGAAAGAAAAGCAGCAGGUUAAUACCCCGCUGUUCUGACGGUACCCAAAGAAUAAGCACCGGCUAACUUCGU